AUGCUAGGUUUCCGUGAAUUUGAUGAUUGCUCUUUAAACUUGCACCUCGCGGAUUCCACCAUUAAGAAACCUAUGGGAAGGAUUAAUGAUGUUAUUAUUGUUGCAAAUAGGAACUAUGUGCCCAUAGAUUUUAUUGUUCUUGAUAUAUAUUGCAAUCCUUCAUGUCCUAUUAUUCUUGAUAGACCUUUCCUUAGAACGAUUGGUGCAAUUAUUGAUAUGAAAGAUGGAAAUAUUAGAUUCCAAUUUCCAUUAAGAAAAGGUAUGGAACACUUUACUAGGAAGAAAAUAAAAUUACCUUAUGAAUCUAUUAUGAGAUCCACCUAUGAAUUGAAUGCCAAAUAUGGUAAUACCUAG
RNAcentral lists this ribosomal RNA (354 nucleotides) under Triticum aestivum (bread wheat). RNAcentral's name for it is "partial small subunit ribosomal RNA". The record is from RNAcentral. Lineage: Eukaryota; Viridiplantae; Streptophyta; Magnoliopsida; Poales; Poaceae.